AAAGUCGUAACAAGGUAACCGUAGGUGAACCUGCGGUUGGAUCAUUAAAAAUGAAUAAAGAGUUUGACCAAAAAUUAGGCUCUUUUUUUACAUUUGUGAAUUGUUUAUUGUCUCUUGCUCAUUUUAAUUAAUUUAAUUAUAAUGGGCAACAACCUUUAUAAGGUAAAACCUAGUAUUGAAAAUUGACUUUGUUGAAUUAAUUAAAUUUAAAACAACUUUUGACAACGGAUCUCUAGGCUCUC
This 242-nucleotide unclassified non-coding RNA is filed under the name Chytridiomycota sp. RNAcentral describes it as "partial contains small subunit ribosomal RNA, internal transcribed spacer 1, and 5.8S ribosomal RNA". The stretch from base 1 to 47 matches the Rfam family "Eukaryotic small subunit ribosomal RNA", at positions 1785 to 1831 of the family's 1831-position model. The record is from RNAcentral. Lineage: Eukaryota; Fungi; Chytridiomycota.